GAUGAACGCUGGCGGCGUGCCUAAUACAUGCAAGUCGAGCGAACGGACGAGAAGCUUGCUUUUCUGAUGUUAGCGGCGGACGGGUGAGUAACACGUGGAUAACCUACCUAUAAGACUGGGAUAACUUCGGGAAACCGGAGCUAAUACCGGAUAAUAUUUUGAACCGCAUGGUUCAAAAGUGAAAGACGGUCUUGCUGUCACUUAUAGAUGGAUCCGCGCUGCAUUAGCUAGUUGGUAAGGUAACGGCUUACCAAGGCAACGAUGCAUAGCCGACCUGAGAGGGUGAUCGGCCACACUGGAACUGAGACACGGUCCAGACUCCUACGGGAGGCAGCAGUAGGGAAUCUUCCGCAAUGGGCGAAAGCCUGACGGAGCAACGCCGCGUGAGUGAUGAAGGUCUUCGGAUCGUAAAACUCUGUUAUUAGGGAAGAACAUAUGUGUAAGUAACUGUGCACAUCUUGACGGUACCUAAUCAGAAAGCCACGGCUAACUACGUGCCAGCAGCCGCGGUAAUACGUAGGUGGCAAGCGUUAUCCGGAAUUAUUGGGCGUAAAGCGCGCGUAGGCGGUUUUUUAAGUCUGAUGUGAAAGCCCACGGCUCAACCGUGGAGGGUCAUUGGAAACUGGAAAACUUGAGUGCAGAAGAGGAAAGUGGAAUUCCAUGUGUAGCGGUGAAAUGCGCAGAGAUGUGGAGGAACACCAGUGGCGAAGGCGACUUUCUGGUCUGUAACUGGCGCUGAUGUGCGAAAGCGUGGGGAUCAAACAGGAUUAGAUACCCUGGUAGUCCACGCCGUAAACGAUGAGUGCUAAGUGUUAGGGGGUUUCCGCCCCUUAGUGCUGCAGCUAACGCAUUAAGCACUCCGCCUGGGGAGUACGACCGCAAGGUUGAAACUCAAAGGAAUUGACGGGGGCCCGCACAAGCGGUGGAGCAUGUGGUUUAAUUCGAAGCAACGCGAAGAACCUUACCAAAUCUUGACAUCCUUUGACAACUCUAGAGAUAGAGCCUUCCCCUUCGGGGGACAAAGUGACAGGUGGUGCAUGGUUGUCGUCAGCUCGUGUCGUGAGAUGUUGGGUUAAGUCCCGCAACGAGCGCAACCCUUAAGCUUAGUUGCCAUCAUUAAGUUGGGCACUCUAAGUUGACUGCCGGUGACAAACCGGAGGAAGGUGGGGAUGACGUCAAAUCAUCAUGCCCCUUAUGAUUUGGGCUACACACGUGCUACAAUGGACAAUACAAAGGGCAGCGAAGCCGCGAGGUCAAGCAAAUCCCAUAAAGUUGUUCUCAGUUCGGAUUGUAGUCUGCAACUCGACUACAUGAAGCUGGAAUCGCUAGUAAUCGUAGAUCAGCAUGCUACGGUGAAUACGUUCCCGGGUCU
Molecule: ribosomal RNA, 1372 nt
Filed under: uncultured bacterium
Lineage: Bacteria
Description: bacterial SSU rRNA
Rfam family: Bacterial small subunit ribosomal RNA
Source: RNAcentral